This 254-nucleotide ribosomal RNA is filed under the name uncultured bacterium. RNAcentral's name for it is "partial 16S ribosomal RNA". It matches the Rfam family "Bacterial small subunit ribosomal RNA", at positions 524 to 776 of the family's 1533-position model. The record is from RNAcentral.
GACGGAGGAUGCAAGUGUUAUCCGGAAUCACUGGGCGUAAAGCGUCUGUAGGUGGUUUAAAAAGUCUGCUGUUAAAAAAUUGAAGCUUAACUUCAAAGGUGCCGUAGAAACUUUUAAACUUGAGGAUGGUAGGGGUAGAGGGAAUUUCCAGUGGAGCGGUGAAAUGCGUAGAUCUUGGAAAGACCACCAAUGGCGAAGGCACUCUACUGGGCCAUGACUGACACUGAGAGACGAAAGCUAGGGGAGCAAAUGGG